AUCGAUUAGCUUCAGCGAUGGAUA
Molecule: ribosomal RNA, 24 nt
Filed under: Haemonchus contortus (barber pole worm)
Lineage: Eukaryota; Metazoa; Nematoda; Chromadorea; Rhabditida; Trichostrongylidae
Description: partial 5.8S ribosomal RNA
Source: RNAcentral